RNAcentral lists this long non-coding RNA (257 nucleotides) under Coturnix japonica (Japanese quail). RNAcentral describes it as "lncRNA (ENSCJPG00005019645.1)". Lineage: Eukaryota; Metazoa; Chordata; Aves; Galliformes; Phasianidae. The record is from RNAcentral.
GUGCUGGCAAACAAGUUUUUUAACUAGCCUGCUCAGCCUUUAAAAGAAAAAAGCACAUUGAUUUCAAACAACAGCCCACCACUGAAAAGUGUGCAAGACAUCGCAGAGCUGAGCAGGCACCCGAGCGAUGGCUGGAUAAAGAAUACUUCUCUCACUGCGUAAUGAACAGCCCAAGCAGCCCGCGGAUCUUAGCCUGUGACUUCUGUGAUCAGGAAGCUAUGGAGACUUUUUUAGGGGUAGAAUAGUUCAGUAUCCAC